This 1041-nucleotide ribosomal RNA is filed under the name uncultured bacterium. Its description in RNAcentral is "bacterial SSU rRNA". It matches the Rfam family "Bacterial small subunit ribosomal RNA", at positions 8 to 1047 of the family's 1533-position model. The record is from RNAcentral.
AGAGUUUGAUCAUGGCUCAGAAUGAACGCUGGCGGCGUGCCUAACACAUGCAAGUCGGAUGUGCCCGCAAGGGAGCAUGGCAGACGGGUGAGUAACGCGUAGGGAACCUACCUUUUUGUGGGGGAUAACGUUCCGAAAGGAAUGGUAAUACCGCAUGAGACCAUGGGCUGGAAUGUUCAUGGUGAAAGCCGGGGAUCGAAAGACCUGGCGCAAGAAGAGGGUCCUGCGUCUGAUUAGCUAGUUGGCGGGGUAACGGCCCACCAAGGCAACGAUCAGUAGCCGGCCUGAGAGGGUGAUCGGCCACACUGGAACUGAGACACGGUCCAGACUCCUACGGGAGGCAGCAGUGGGGAAUUUUGCGCAAUGGGCGAAAGCCUGACGCAGCAACGCCGCGUGGGUGAUGAAGGUCUUCGGAUCGUAAAACCCUGUCGUCGGGGACGAAGGUAAUUCGGUUAACAACUGAGUUGCUUGACGGUACCCGGAGAGGAAGCCCCGGCUAACUCUGUGCCAGCAGCCGCGGUAAUACAGAGGGGGCAAGCGUUAUUCGGAAUUAUUGGGCGUAAAGGGCGCGUAGGCGGUUUUUUAAGUCAGAUGUGUAAUCCCCGAGCUCAACUUGGGAACUGCAUCUGAGACUGGAAGGCUAGAGUACUGGAGAGGGUGGUAGAAUUCCACGUGUAGCGGUGAAAUGCGUAGAGAUGUGGAGGAAUACCAGUGGCGAAGGCGGCCACCUGGACAGUAACUGACGCUGANGCGCGAAAGUGUGGGUAGCAAACAGGAUUAGAUACCCUGGUAGUCCACGCUGUAAACGAUGAACACUUGGUGUGGUGGGAGUUGACCCCUGCCGUGCCGGAGCUAACGCGUUAAGUGUUCCGCCUGGGGAGUACGGUCGCAAGGCUGAACUCAAAGGAAUUGACGGGGGCCCGCACAAGCGGUGGAGCAUGUGGUUUAAUUCGAUGCACGCGAAAACNUACUCNCUUGACAUGUACGNNNCCGCNNAGGACGCGAUGNGCUCGAAAGANACNUGGANNNCAGUGCUGCAUG